This is a non-coding RNA of Chiloscyllium plagiosum (whitespotted bambooshark), 1753 nucleotides long. The record is from RefSeq and is a predicted model, not a curated record. Lineage: Eukaryota; Metazoa; Chordata; Chondrichthyes; Orectolobiformes; Hemiscylliidae.
UGUCGAUUCUUCUGCUCCUUGGAUGCUGCCUGACCUGCUGCGCUUUUCCAGCAACACAUUUUCAGCUCGUCUCUCUGCGGGACGACAUCUACAAACAGACUCAUUUCUGGAGUUACUACGCCAUUGGAUUACUUUUUGUCUGGGGCCAUCCAUCUCAAUCGUCUGUCUCCACCCUCUGCACUAACUCCUGGAAGUUAUUCAGAACGUAGAAGCAUGUAUGUUUCACUUGGCUGAAAACCCAAAUGGACGAAUGUUGAACCUGUCUUUUAAAUAGUGAAGCAUGAUUUUCCAAAUCUGUGAUCUACUUUCAACCCUGAUGAAUUGGGAAUGGCGGAACGUGGGUUAUGUGAAUUCACCACGUAAAAACUCCAACUUCAAACCGUGAGCAGCCUCAAGGUACUUCAUUACACACAUCUCCAAUUCUAAAAUAGAGUUGCAUUUAUGUAGCACAUUUCGUUUUCUUGAAUUGUUCGCACACAAAUCACAGUCUGUCUAUACGUUGGAGGCACAGAAGAUAAACAUGCCAGCCAGUUUACACACAACAAUGCCCCACACACAUCACAAGAUAAAUGACCUUGUUGUGGUUGUUUUAAACUGUCAAUUUGAGUCUUAGGUUCAGUAAGCAGAGAUUUAUUCAAGCAUAUGCUGAGGACAAGCUUCACCAAGUUAUCCAGGAUAGCUCCUCCCAAAACACAAAGGUUUCAACACUGUUUAUAUUUCUCAACUUAAUGUAGCCCCCCACCCCCCAACACCAUACCUUGGGUCUGCUGGUUUCUAUAGCAACUGAACCUUCAGUUUUUCCUAGUCUUCAUGGCCUGUGCAGCAAUGGAUAAUUUUUACGACUUACAAUCUCAGCUAGAUUCCCACAGGAAUGGAAACAUAUCCCAUUUUUCCUAUACUAUUGGCUACAGUCUUUAUACAUUUUGGAAAAGGUUAACAGCUACAUUUAUCUAUUCUAAGCUAAUAGUGUGCAUUUAAACAUUAAUCACAAUCAAUUGUCUCACUUAACUUCUUCACUUGUAUUUUUGUUGGUGAGGUUAGCCAUUGACCAGGACAACUGGGGAAUCCUGUUUUGACUUCUUCAAAUGGUGCCCAGCUUUUUAAGAUCCACCUGAAUGGGCUGAUCUCAGGACAUGAAUGUAAUAUUUAGAUGGCAUUUCUGGCUGUAUUAAAUGGAAUUGUCAGCGUAUGUGUUUAAGUCUUGUAUCCACAGCUUUCUGAUGCAGAGGCCAGAAUGCUGCCGAACCAGUGCAGAACAUGCAGGGACCUAUCAUAUCUGCAGAACAGGUAAAAGUGAUGGCACCUAUUAUAGUAUUGCUCAGCACUGCUGCACAGCACCGCUUCUGUGCUCACCACCACUCAACACCUAAAGUGCAUGGAUGUAAAGUUCUGACCAGAGGGUGCAGCCCAAAUCCUCACCAAAAUAAAGAUACGAAGUUCUCUGAAAACAAAUUUAAAGGACACGUGAACCCAUAACUUGGGGAAGAAGCAGGAACCGGAGGUGGAUCUGCAGCUAUGGCCAACUUGGCCAUGAUAGAAAAGGAAGCCAUUAGAGGGACCUGGUGAUACCAUUAGAUGCAGCACUGCCACUUGGUGUCACUCAUGUUGAAUUGAUCUCACCAAGACAUUAAAUGUUGUGAUGUAAAUUGGCUAAUGGCAUAUAAUGUGGACAAACGUGAACAUUUUCCAUUUUUUAAAUUAGAUUAGAUUACCUACAGUGUGGAAACAGGCCUUUGGCCCAACAAGUCCACAC